Molecule: long non-coding RNA, 511 nt
Organism: Schistocerca gregaria
Lineage: Eukaryota; Metazoa; Arthropoda; Insecta; Orthoptera; Acrididae
Exons: 3
Source: RefSeq, a predicted model, not a curated record
UCUCGUUCAGUUAAGUUGGCAACAGCAGGAAAGCACUCUGGGUAUUUUCGCGCGUUUUUGAAGUUUAUUUACGUCUCGUCGUCUGCAAAAAGAGCUCGAUUAAAAUAAGUUAAACGCUAUCGAGAGCCCAAAACUAUCCCUGGAAGAUGUAUUAAAGCAUGUCGAUAUCGUUCACGAUGUCAGAAGCAUAAUAGAGAACAAGAAAACGGAUGCAAUAUCAAGUAGUGAAAAGUUGACAUAAGGGGGCAGAUAAUCCAGGAGGUGGUCCAUCAGCUACACAUGUAUCAGGAGACCAGCCAGGCCGAAGCAAGUGGAAACGACAGAGGGUAUCACUGUCUGUGUCAGCUAAAGAGUUGGGUCCAUAGGCCAAUGCGAAGAGAGAGUUAGCUGAACUACAACUGGUGCUGUUGCAAAAGCAGCAUGACGAGUCACAGAGGAGAGAAGAAGAGCUUUUUCAAUUAAAGAAAGACAGCCUAGAGCUGAAAAUUAAGAUUAGAAAAGAAAAACCAAA